This is a long non-coding RNA of Polyodon spathula (Mississippi paddlefish), 735 nucleotides long. RefSeq lists it as uncharacterized. The transcript is spliced from 3 exons. Lineage: Eukaryota; Metazoa; Chordata; Actinopteri; Acipenseriformes; Polyodontidae. The record is from RefSeq and is a predicted model, not a curated record.
AAUUUGAAUGGAGUCUUUCCUUUGCCCCACUGGCUGGCAGCGCAGUUUGCUCCUGUCUCUGCCUGUCUCUGAUAUUUGGGAUUGGUUUAUUGCCCACGGGCUGGCAGAGUAAUCGAUCAUGCCUUGAGGUUAUUUUAUAAAAACAAUAUUAAUACCAAAACCCCACAGACCAGCGGAAGUAGUUCACUGCAUCCUUUCACCCUGACUGGACUUCUAACCUCUGUGUUUAUAUUUAUUUCUUAGACAGUGCAGGUUCCGUUCAGCACCAGCAACCCCCCGGACCGGUUCUUGUUUUACAUGAAAAACCAAAGCAACACCACCAGCGUCAUCACUUUGGAGUCAGUUCAGUUCCGCGACUGGUUUAUCAGCAACAAUAACUCCAAUGAGCGUUCGCCAGUGGCCAUGUGCAGAGGAACUGAGGCUGCAGGACGCGUCGUCCACUUCAGUCUCUCAAGCUUAGCAAAUCUCUCGCAACGGUAUCUUGCAAAAGCUAAGAGAAGCAGAAAGGAGCAGAUACUGGCUCUGGUUGAGGCAAAAAGAUUCUGGUUGGAGACCACAAGGACAGUAAAAAGAAAGCAACUUCGAUGAAGGAACUCUCUGAUGAAACCAGGCGGAUACCUCCCUGUUUAGACUGCGUUUGUGGAUCUCCUGCUCUGGCCCUCCUGCUCUGCACUGGACUCUCUGACCUCAGCACCACUUUACUGGAUCCUCAGCUGAUGCGCUAUCCUUGAACUA